This 76-nucleotide transfer RNA is filed under the name Bacillota bacterium. RNAcentral describes it as "Firmicutes bacterium (anaerobic digester metagenome) tRNA-Glu". It matches the Rfam family "tRNA". Rfam says of the family: Transfer RNA (tRNA) molecules are approximately 80 nucleotides in length. The record is from RNAcentral. Lineage: Bacteria; Bacillati; Bacillota.
GCCCCCAUCGUCUAGUGGCCUAGGAUGCCGCCCUCUCACGGCGGUGGCAGGGGUUCGAAUCCCCUUGGGGGUACCA